Molecule: ribosomal RNA, 578 nt
Filed under: Cuscuta stenolepis
Lineage: Eukaryota; Viridiplantae; Streptophyta; Magnoliopsida; Solanales; Convolvulaceae
Description: eukaryotic LSU rRNA
Rfam family: 5.8S ribosomal RNA (bases 212-367)
Source: RNAcentral
CCUGCGGAAGGAUCAUUGUCGAACCCUCGCGGUAGAAUGACUUGUUAACCUGUACCAAUUAUGGAUUAGAGUGUCGUGGCGCCGUCUUUCUGAUUUGCCCAUGACGAACAAAAACACCGGCGCAGCAGCGCCAAGGAAUAUCACAAUGAGUGUGCAACCUCGCAGAGCUCAAUUCUACUGCUUGUGAGGCUGGCAUCCUUUUAAUAAAAAUGACUCUCGGCAAUGGAUAUCUCGGCUCUUGCAUCGAUGAAGAACGUAGCGAAAUGCGAUACUUGGUGUGAAUUGCAGAAUCCCGUGAACCAUCGAAACUUUGAACGCAAGUUGCGCCUCAAGCCAUUAGGUUGAGGGCACGUCUGCUUGGGUGUCAUGCAUUGUGUCUCCCCUCUCGUGUGUGGAGAGGGAAUAGAUCGUGGCCUCCUGGGCCCUUCUUUGGGUGUGGUUGGCCGAAAAUGUUGUCCUUGAUUUUGUUGAUGUCUUGGCGUGCGGUGGAUGUACCAAGUGUGCAUAAUUGCCAGCCUUGCUCGACUUCAUUGCGGCGUCGGGAUCCUAUGAAGCUGCAGCUCUUUGAUUGCGACCCC